RNAcentral lists this long non-coding RNA (1068 nucleotides) under Ornithorhynchus anatinus (platypus). Its description in RNAcentral is "lncRNA (ENSOANG00000041242.1)". Lineage: Eukaryota; Metazoa; Chordata; Mammalia; Monotremata; Ornithorhynchidae. The record is from RNAcentral.
GCGCGCCCCUGCACUCUCCAAGGACUGUCCCUCGGCCGCCCCCAGAAACUGCACCCCGGGAGUCCCCAAGACCCGAGCUCCGGGCACCCCCAGGAACCGCGCCCCGGGAGCUCCUCCCCAAGAAACUGCGCCCCGGGGGGCUCCAGGAAACAGUGCCCCGGGGUCCCCCAGGACUGUGCCCAGGGACCCCCCCCUCAAGAACCAGGCCCCGGGCUCCCCCAGAAACCGUGCCCCGGUAUUCCCCCCAAACCGUGCCUCGGGCUCCCCCAGAAACUGGGCCCCGGAUUCGCCGAGAACCGUGCCCCGGGCUCCUCCAGAAACUGUGCCCCCGGGGGGGGGCUCCAAGAAACAGUGCCCCGGGCUCCCCCAGAAACUGGGUCCCGGGAUUCCCCCAAAACCGUGCCUCGGGCUACUCCAGAAACUGCACCCCGGGGGGGGGGGUGGCUCCAAGAAACAGCGCCCCGGCCUCCCCCAGAAACUGGGCCCCGGGAUUCCCUAAGAAGCAGUGCCCCGGGUUCCCCCAUAAAUCGGGCCCCGGGAUGCCCCCCAAACUGUGGCCCGAGCUCCUCCAGCAACUGCGCCCCGGGGGGUUCCAGAAUCUGCGCCCCGGGGGUGCCCAGAGACUCUGCCCCGGGAUUCCCCAAGAACCAUGCCCCGGGCUCCUCCAGAAACUGUGCCCCGGGAUUGCCCCCAAACGGUGCCCCGAGCUCCUCCAGAAACUGUGCCCCGGGGGGCUCCGAGAACCGAUCCUCGGGAGCCCCCCUAAACCGGGCUGCUUCUCCCUCGGGUCUGCCGUCCGUCCAUCCGUCCGUCCGUCCGUCCAUCCGUCCGUCCAUCCCGGUGGCUCCGGAUUGCCAAUUGCCGCAGCUGAAGUUUGGCGAGCAGAAAGCGGUGUCCGCGGCCUCUCGGCCCCUUCCUGCCGGGGGACAAGGCAGGAGAGCGGUCAGGGCCCGAAUUCCCGGGACAGAGGGCUUCCCUCCCUCUCCCGAGCGCUCAGCGCAGCGCCGUGCGCACAGUGAGCGCUCAGUACGUAGCCCGGGGGCUGGGGAGGGGAGGCCGCGCCCUUAG